UACGGAGGAUGCAAGCGUUAUCCGGAAUUACUGGGCGUAAAGCGUGCGCAGGCGGUUUUGUAAGCCAGAUGUGAAAUCCCCGGGCUUAACCUGGGAAUGGCAUUUGGGACUGCAAGGCUCGAGUGCGGCAGAGGAGACUGGAAUUCCUGGUGUAGCAGUGAAAUGCGUAGAUAUCAGGAGGAACACCGAUGGCGAAGGCAGGUCUCUGGGCUGACACUGACGCUCAUGCACGAAAGCGUGGGGAGCAAACAGG
This 253-nucleotide ribosomal RNA is filed under the name uncultured bacterium. RNAcentral's name for it is "partial 16S ribosomal RNA". It matches the Rfam family "Bacterial small subunit ribosomal RNA", at positions 524 to 776 of the family's 1533-position model. The record is from RNAcentral.